RNAcentral lists this small RNA (169 nucleotides) under Marmota monax (woodchuck). Lineage: Eukaryota; Metazoa; Chordata; Mammalia; Rodentia; Sciuridae. The record is from RNAcentral.
CCAAAAAGUUGUCAGAAAAAUCAGUGGUUUUUAUGUUCUGUGAUCUAGUAAGAACUUUCAUACUUAAGCAAAUAUUAAAAUUUACAUGAUAAAAUGCCUUCAGUGUGUGUGUGUGUGUGUGUGUGUGUGUGUGUGUGUGUGUUAUUGAACCCAGUCAGGGUGCCUUGCC